RNAcentral lists this ribosomal RNA (506 nucleotides) under uncultured bacterium. RNAcentral describes it as "partial 16S ribosomal RNA". It matches the Rfam family "Bacterial small subunit ribosomal RNA", at positions 28 to 523 of the family's 1533-position model. The record is from RNAcentral.
GAUGAACGCUAGCUACAGGCUUAACACAUGCAAGUCGAGGGGUAACGAGAGGAAAGCUUGCUUUCCUUGUCGACGACCGGCGCACGGGUGAGUAACGCGUAUCCAACCUGCCCCCAACUAGGGAAUAACCUUGCGAAAGUAAGGCUAAUACCCUAUAAUUUCCUCAGAUGACAUCUGACGAGGAAUAAAGAUUUAUCGGUUGUGGAUGGGGAUGCGUCUGAUUAGCUUGUUGGCGGGGUAACGGCCCAACAAGGCAACGAUCAGGAGGGGUUCUGAGAGGAAGGUCCCCCACAUUGGAACUGAGACACGGUCCAAACUCCUACGGGAGGCAGCAGUGAGGAAUAUUGGUCAAUGGGCGGAAGCCUGAACCAGCCAAGUAGCGUGCAGGAUGACGGCCCUAUGGGUUGUAAACUGCUUUUAUACAGGAAUAAAGUUAGCCACGUGUGGUUAUUUGUAGGUACUGUAUGGAUAAGGACCGGCUAAUUCCGUGCCAGCCGCCGCGGUAA